AACUCCGGUGGUAUCAGAUGGACCCGCGUUGGAUUAGCUAGUUGGCAGGGUAACGGCCUACCAAGGCGACGAUCCAUAGCCGGCCUGAGAGGGUGAACGGCCACAUUGGGACUGAGACACGGCCCAGACUCCUACGGGAGGCAGCAGUGGGGAAUAUUGCACAAUGGGGGAAACCCUGAUGCAGCGAUGCCGCGUGAAGGAAGAAGUAUCUCGGUAUGUAAACUUCUAUCAGCAGGGAAGAUAGUGACGGUACCUGACUCAGAAGCCCC
Molecule: ribosomal RNA, 269 nt
Filed under: Blautia producta
Lineage: Bacteria; Bacillati; Bacillota; Clostridia; Lachnospirales; Lachnospiraceae
Description: partial 16S ribosomal RNA
Rfam family: Bacterial small subunit ribosomal RNA
Source: RNAcentral